Aethina tumida (small hive beetle) is the source of this 3168-nucleotide long non-coding RNA. RefSeq lists it as uncharacterized. Lineage: Eukaryota; Metazoa; Arthropoda; Insecta; Coleoptera; Nitidulidae. The record is from RefSeq and is a predicted model, not a curated record. The transcript has 9 exons.
GUGCCGAACAUGUCUAGCGAAAAUAUCAGUUCACAGAAAGUCGGUUUGCUGUAUGGUAGCAUUUCGCUUUCCGUUCAAGCGUUUAAGUAGUGCGAUUACUUAAUCAAAAUCUAGAUUAGUAACUUGCUGCACAAUGAAGAUUCUCCCUCACCAAUCAAGCCGAUAACUCCGAAGUUGACCUGUGAUUAGACUAGGCAUGUGUUACGGCUUAGUUUCAUUAUCUUCCGCUGCUGGACACAACGUGGAACUUAAUCUUCUCGAAACUGGGGAAGCUUUGAGCUACAAACCACACUCCACGGUACUGUUGAAUGAAAAGUAUGGUAAUAGCAAGAAUGUUGGGUUCUUCGUGGAUGGUGACGUGGUUGUCACGACACUCUGGAGCAACGACAACAGCAAGAUAUUACGGAUAGAAGUUAAAGAACCAUAACUUAAUAUUAAGUCAAGGAAAGUACCUGCACCAGAUGGUUUUGUGCCACACGGUUCCAACUUGGAGAACUUGUCCAAUAAACCUCAUCUUUAUGCUGAGGCAACGUCAGUAGUCAAUCUUAAAAAAGGAGUUGCUGUUUCAGAUAUUGGAUGUCGAAAUGCGUGAGACCGACUCUUCAGGAGAAUGUACUGCAAAAUAUUUCUCAACAUCUCAAGAUAAAUUUGACCAAACAACUCCGUAUAUCUCCAGAUUAUUCCUACAUUUACAAUCCUGACGAACAAUAUUAUAAAAUCAAUGACUUCUAAGGAGAGCCAUUAAAUUUGGUCAGGAAAAAUCGCAUUAUUUCACUGGGAUAAUUUAGAAACAGUUCUGGCUCAAAUCGUUACUUCUAGUAUUCUAUUUUAGACUCAGGAGUCUCUUCUAACGAACAAAGAGGAAGAUAACAAAGAUGUUCAAUGUUGUUCCGUUCUAGUGAACGGAUUAAGGAAUAGUUUAAAGAAUGAAGCUUUGGGAGAAUUAAAAUCAGUCAGAAGUUUAAUAAUGCUAAUUAACUCUGAAAGAAGAGCCAGUAAAACGGAAAUCACCAUUGACGAUAAGGAGAAUAAAAAUAUACUUUUACAAUUGUAUGAGGGGGUUUGAUUCAAACUAUUGAUUCACAUUCACAACAAAAUAUUGGUAUUUGAUAAUGAACAGAGUAUCGAUCAAAAUGAACCUUUUAAACAUUUACAAUAAAAACAUGAAUAUCCCAGCUAAAGUCAAAGAGACUAUCAUUCUCAUUUUGACUUCUGAAUCUAAAGUUCUGCACGAAGUGGAAGAAACUAUUAAAUUUAGAUUAUGCAAAAGGAGAAGAACGUUACUAAUUUUUUCAUGCUCUAAAUAAUUUAAAGUCCGGAAGAACCCUCUAAAUUAUAUUAAAUAUGGAAGUCCUAAAGAAGAAUAAUUGAGUUGCAAAGCGAUUACAGCAUAAAUCUGUUCUGAAAGCGGCAGAAAAAACCUUCUUUCAAUUUGACAAAAACGUGAUACAAGUUCCAGAACUAUUUCAGCUGAUAUUAUUCUUUUGUCCAAUCCUUGUUGUUGGAAUAUUUAUAUUCUAAAGAUCCUUUGAAAUCAAAUAAUAUGUACUGCAAACUCUUAAAAUGUUGUCCGAAGAGAGUCCUGAGUUUAAAGAGAAGAUAAUGAGAAUCAUCUGAAAGGGCAACAAACUGAACAACUACUCUACGUGGUCGCCAAGAGGAAUAUCGACUGUUUUAACCAGAAGCUUCAUGAAAACAAUCUCGAGUAAUCGUAAACGAGGUCAAUGUCAUGAUUGACAAAGAUGGCUUCUUUCAAGAGAUUUUCUCCAUUAGUAUAUUUUCUGGUGGUCUUUCCAGUUUUAUGUUCAGUUAUUGGAACGCAGCUCAGACCGUUCGUUUUCUUCAGCGAACAAGGCGAACUUAUGGGUCACGUUUAGUCUGGAACUGCUUCUGAGAAAACGGCUGCGUAUCACGUGAGAUGCUUUAUGAUUUUUUAACGAUUUGUAGGCUAAUGCAUUGUUGUAAGAUCAUUUAGAAUAUAUUUUUUAGAGCUGGAAAUUUUGUUAGUGGGAUAAACCAAAGUUGAUACGGCAUUUAUAAAGUCUCAGGUCGAAUGUACUGCAUCUAUUGAACCGAAAUUGAACCUUAAAACUGAUAUCAAUAUUUUCUCUAAAAUGAAUUUGUGCAUGAGACUAACGCAACCUGAAAUAAUACUCUGUGUUCUGAUACUAUCGUUGGUAUUCACACCAUAUACCUCAUACCCUAUGAAGAUUGAUCUGUGGAUUACAUCCAACCAUGCCUGUAUGCAUAAGGAAGGAUGGCAAAUGCAUUGAAUCGGAAUUCAGAAAUCCGCCAGAAACGAAGAAAAUUUAAUUUGAAACGUACGUAGAAGAUGAAAUUGACUCGCACAGGCGGCCAAUCAAAGAAUGGAGCAACAACACUGCGUACAUUUGGCUUAACCCAAACGAAAAAUUAAGGGGAAAAGUACACAUUUCCCAGGUGCUACAUUUUUUUCCAAAAUGAGAGUCACAGCAGUCCAAAAGGAAUUUUUAGUGAAAUUUAUAUCGGAAAAUCCGAUAUUAAUUUCAAAAAAGUUUACGAAGGAUUAUUCAUCCAAGGAAUACGUUGAGCUUUGGCAAGAAGCCGCAGCUAUUCUGACGGGGCCUGAAAAGACUUGGCAGGGGUGGAAAAAGACGUGGUCCGACAUAAUAGCCAGAACUAAUCUUAACUCGCCACACAGAGAAAGGAAAUUUCGAUAACGGGAGGGGCAGGCGAAAAUUUGCGGCCUUAGCCGCCUUGCGACAGAUAUUGCAGGUCUCAUUAAGCCCUCAUCGGUAGAAGGAGUCGCAAAUGUUCCCCUCCCAAACGUCAAAUACGAAUUUUCUCGUUUGUUCCUGACGUGCGGGGGCCUUCGUCAGCUCCGGACGUGCCUCGCCAGCCCUUACAACGUUCAAGGAGUAAAAAGCAAAAAAGUUCCACAUAUGAUGCAAGGCUUUGGGGAAUAUUGUGAGUGCCUUGAUGCAUCCUCAGCGUCAAAUGCACAGGGCUUAAUCCAAACGGCCCAGGCGUUGUCAUAGACUGCUGUGGCACUGGACCACAUGGCGGAAGCCAUAAAUAAAUUAGCGUAGUCUCGAUAACUAUUUGUUUUUGUUACUAUUUUUGUUAAAAUUUAUUUUCGGAAUUUUAUAUUUUUUUAUAUUAUUAAUUAAAUUAUGUUAUAUAAGCAUA